AGUUAGGAAAUGCAGGUGCGUUAAUAGCGCACUUGCUUGACUAAGGCUCCUGAGGAAGCCACGGCUAACUCUGUGCCAGCAGCCGCGGUAAUACAGAGGCGGCAAGCGUUGUUCGGAAUUAUUGGGCGUAAAGAGCACCUAGGCGGCCUUGCAAGUCAGUUGUGAAAGCCUUCCGCUUAACGGAAGAACGGCAUCUGAUACUACAGGGCUUGAGUACGGGAGGGGAGAGUGGAACUUCUGGU
Molecule: ribosomal RNA, 242 nt
Filed under: uncultured anaerobic ammonium-oxidizing bacterium
Lineage: Bacteria
Description: partial 16S ribosomal RNA
Rfam family: Bacterial small subunit ribosomal RNA
Source: RNAcentral